Molecule: ribosomal RNA, 253 nt
Filed under: uncultured bacterium
Lineage: Bacteria
Description: partial 16S ribosomal RNA
Rfam family: Bacterial small subunit ribosomal RNA
Source: RNAcentral
UACAGAGGUCCCAAGCGUUGUUCGGAUUCACUGGGCGUAAAGGGUGCGUAGGCGGUCGGAUAAGUCUGAUGUGAAAUCUUCGAGCUCAACUCGGAAACUGCAUCGGAAACUAUUCGGCUAGAGGAUUGGAGGGGAGACUGGAAUUCUCGGUGUAGCAGUGAAAUGCGUAGAUAUCGAGAGGAACACCAGUGGCGAAGGCGAGUCUCUGGACAAUUCCUGACGCUGCGGCACGAAAGCUAGGGGAGCAAACAGG